CCGAUGGCGACCGGCGCACGGGUGAGUAACACGUAUCCAACCUGCCGAUGACUCGGGGAUAGCCUUUCGAAAGAAAGAUUAAUACCCGAUGGCAUAGUUCUUCCGCAUGGUGGAACUAUUAAAGAAUUUCGGUCAUCGAUGGGGAUGCGUUCCAUUAGGUUGUUGGCGGGGUAACGGCCCACCAAGGCGACGAUGCGUAGCCGACCUGAGAGGGUGACCGGCCACACUGGGACUGAGACACGGCCCAGACUCCUACGGGAGGCAGCAUG
RNAcentral lists this ribosomal RNA (269 nucleotides) under uncultured bacterium. RNAcentral's name for it is "partial 16S ribosomal RNA". It matches the Rfam family "Bacterial small subunit ribosomal RNA", at positions 85 to 353 of the family's 1533-position model. The record is from RNAcentral.